Molecule: ribosomal RNA, 560 nt
Filed under: uncultured bacterium
Lineage: Bacteria
Description: bacterial SSU rRNA
Rfam family: Bacterial small subunit ribosomal RNA
Source: RNAcentral
ACUCCUACGGGAGGCAGCAGUGGGGAAUAUUGCACAAUGGAGGAAACUCUGAUGCAGCGACGCCGCGUGAAUGAUGAAGGCCUUCGGGUCGUAAAAUUCUGUCCUUGGGGAAGAUAAUGACGGUACCCAAGGAGGAAGCCCCGGCUAACUACGUGCCAGCAGCCGCGGUAAUACGUAGGGGGCGAGCGUUGUCCGGAAUUAUUGGGCGUAAAGGGUUCGCAGGCGGUCUGAUAAGUCAGAUGUGAAAGGCAAUGGCUCAACCAUUGUAAGCAUUUGAAACUGUCAGACUUGAGUUAAGGAGAGGAAAGUGGAAUUCCUAGUGUAGCGGUGAAAUGCGUAGAUAUUAGGAGGAAUACCAGUGGCGAAGGCGACUUUCUGGACUUAUACUGACGCUGAGGAACGAAAGCGUGGGGAGCAAACAGGAUUAGAUACCCUGGUAGUCCACGCCGUAAACGAUGAGUGCUAGGUGUUGGGGGUCAAACCUCGGUGCCGCAGCUAACGCAUUAAGCACUCCGCCUGGGGAGUACGUACGCAAGUAUGAAACUCAAAGGAAUUGACGG